AAAUACCACUCAAACUUUGUUGUGUCAUUUUCAUCCACUUGAGGCCAAAUUCUCUUUUCUGUGCUACCCUUUACCCUUUUUUUUAAACAAAUGGCAUUCAUUUACCUUAUAUGUAAAAGUGAGGGUGUACAAGACUCCACAUAUCUCAAGAUGUGUUCAUAAGUCAUAAGAGGGCAGAUUUGUGUACUCAAUUACUUGUUUUGAGUUUGGUAGUCUCGGCCCCCUUGUUCAUAGGACUUAUUUUUAUCAUUAGAGUGCAUAAUACUAUGCAACACAAGGCUCGUCUUGUCUACUCUACUGAAUGUUUAUAACAUUUUCAGCUUGUAAGUCCGCAACAUAUAUAAUUCAUGUACCUCCUUCCUGUCAACUAUGUGUAAAUAUGUUUACUUCACUUUAUCUAAUAAUCGUGCAUAAUACUGUCCUGCAUGCAGGGGUGGUUGGGAGACUUUUGAGAAUAAGAAGAAAUCAGGCCAAGCUUGGAAUGCCCAAUGGAUCUUCGUGUUCUUCAGGAAACAAUUGGGCUCAACCUUCUGACCAUCGGUCCUAUAGGUUGUUGGAGAUAACACCUAGAUCAUGUGUCUCUACAUAUUAUUGAUGUACACUGCUUGCAUCUGAUGCUUACUUACCAUCCCUGAGUCCAUCUCUUAUAGAUUGUAUGAUGCUCCUCCGAUUUAUGUUUUGAUGAUGUUUAGGAUUAAGAAUGGUCUGACAUAUCUGUUAGCUCUCGGUACCAUGAUUUUUAUAAUUAGUUAGAUGAUAUUUGUUCAUAAUGCAUGCUUAUUUUAGCUCUUUUAGUUCAUUUUUACCUAUUAUCACUUGAAUAUCUUUGUUAGAAUAAACCUAACUGUUAUGUAUGUACAUGAAUAUAGUGUAUGUGAAGCUAGUUGUAUAUGUUGUGCAAUUGUAUAGAGCUACUAGUCGUGCUUGGUAUUUUAGUAUUUUUUAUGUUGUAUCUAUUUUUAUGCUAUUAAUUGUGUACCUCUAGCUAGCUGUAUGUAAUGCAAUUAUGUACAUGAACAUAGUGUUACUUUUUUGCAUUGUUUGAACAUUU
Molecule: long non-coding RNA, 1051 nt
Filed under: Hordeum vulgare
Lineage: Eukaryota; Viridiplantae; Streptophyta; Magnoliopsida; Poales; Poaceae
Description: long non-coding RNA (HVUL_LNC010872)
Source: RNAcentral